UUCGAAUUGGCUGCGGGUGCCUUGGCCCCGGCGCGGCUGGUGGGAGGGCACCUGAGCUCACCAGAGACAGAGAAAGCAAGCGAGCAAGCCACCGGGUCCAGGACUCCUACCGCUGGCCAUGUGGGACACCAGGGCUUUAACCGCUCCACCUGCCAGCCCCAGGACCGCAUGUUGGUGUAUGAGCAUGCUCAGGCCCAGAGAAAUGAAAUGCCCUAUUUGCCUGAGGUCUCAGUGGGAGUUACUGACACAUCCAGGGUGGGUAGACAGCCAGAAGACAGCUUACUGCCCUCGCCGCCCAGGAAAGUUUGAUUGGGGCAUGCCUGCAAAACUGCACGUGUGGAUUGGGAUUUUCUGGACUGCAGUGUGUGGAGAGGAGAGCUGAAGAUUAGGCAGGGGGAAGCUGCCACAUCUGCUCUGAUAGCUGCCUUGUAUGGAGCACCAUCCAACAAAUAGAAAUGGUACAUGUGUGUGCAGUCUCCGAGAACUGGGACGUAUUUGGGGCAAGGCAGCUCCUCUCCUACCCGAGUCCAAAGGCCUAUUUCCUGGGAAACAACUGGCCGUGGACUGUGUGGCCAAUGAGAUGUGUGUGAGCGCUUCCAGGAGAGCUUUCUAAUGAGUCCUCUUCUCUGCUUGGAAUGUGGAUGCGAUGGCUGGAAUACUAACAUCCACUUUCGAAUGUGAGGCAAUUUGAAGAGGAAAACCAUGAACUGAGAUGACAUCCCUGUAAGCUGCUUUCCCGUGAGCGAAAACACUAAACUAGACGAGCCUCUGCUGUUUUGAAUUCCCAAGUUAUAUGCAGCCACAUCUGACCCUGAUCUGGCCAAGAUCUGAUAUUCGGUGCAGCUAUGAUGGUACAUGCAGGGUGCCGCUCCGCCAUGUCAGAACCAUGUGAGAAGGCUGUGGGUUCAGUUCCUAAGAUGACCUGAAUGCUGCUGUGGGCACACCCUGAUUGACUGGGAGGCUGGAGAGGGGAUCGUGGCAUGAUGAAACCCUGUCACAGGUCUCUGUCUUUCUCCCUGUUACCUUCUCUCAAGAAAUAAACUUUAAAAAAAAUAUUAAAACUUUCUACAGAUAGGCUUUAUCCCACCCCCCUUUAAUUACCAGGGGGCACACAGGCUCAUGAGAGAGAGAACGCCCCCAGGAGGCAAGGUUACACUGCAAUCCCCUUUCCAUUUUUCCACCCCAUCAGCAUUUCGGGCGCAUGCGCACACAGCAUGUGACUUGAGCUGCCCAGGUUGGGCUUGAACGCGGUCAGCCACGUGGGAUCUAGUUUCCGAUGCACUGCAUUUAGCCACUUUGCUAAAGGAGCAGCAGCCCAAAAAGGGUUUUUUCAGCAAUCAUUCUGGCUCCAGCUUUUCUAAACCUCCCUAAGAAUACAUGAGCCAGCUGAGAAAUGUGCCCAAUUGCAGAUAAGCAGGCCUAUAAUAGAUUCUUUCCCCUUAAACUAAAUUAAAAUAAAUCUAAUAGGAGCUUAGAAGGCAAAGGGCCUUUGAGGCCACGGUAUGAUUUGUGAGAGUUGGGAACACCCUGGGUUUAAUCUGUUGAGAGUCCUAGAGAACGGUACUGUCUUCAUAUUAACACUUCCUAUGACGAGGAUUUCCUUUGAUUAUUGGGUCAUUUUCCAUAUUUUUUCACUCACAGUCAUGACAUAUGCCAUGGCUAAAAUUGGUAGCCUGCACUUUUUU
Molecule: long non-coding RNA, 1685 nt
Organism: Tupaia belangeri chinensis (Chinese tree shrew)
Lineage: Eukaryota; Metazoa; Chordata; Mammalia; Scandentia; Tupaiidae
Exons: 5
Source: RefSeq, a predicted model, not a curated record